GGAUUUGAGAGCAACUUGACUGGGGCUCCUACCCUGCUGUGGGUCACUAGGAUUGAUUCAGAUGAUCUGGCUGGCUGAUGGGGUCCCCUUUGCUUUACGUUCUGUGAAGUUGCACAUUUUCCCAGAAAGAGACACCAGAGAGAGAAAAGCCUUCACAUGGACAAGGGAAUACAAAUCCUGUGCCUACCAAAACCCCCAAACAAGCUCAGAUCCAUCUGUGGUUUCUAUUAAUUAAAGCAAGCAUAUUUACAAAGUCUCUUCAUAGUCUUGGGACCUGAUGGAUAAGUAAGA
This 291-nucleotide small nuclear RNA is filed under the name Equus caballus (horse). RNAcentral describes it as "7SK RNA". It matches the Rfam family "7SK RNA". From Rfam's summary of the family: 7SK was discovered as an abundant small nuclear RNA in the mid-70s but a possible function has only recently been suggested. Two independent studies have found that 7SK RNA binds the CDK9/cyclin T complex (known as elongation factor P-TEFb). The record is from Rfam by way of RNAcentral. Lineage: Eukaryota; Metazoa; Chordata; Mammalia; Perissodactyla; Equidae.